Molecule: RNA transcript, 3416 nt
Organism: Lathyrus oleraceus (garden pea)
Lineage: Eukaryota; Viridiplantae; Streptophyta; Magnoliopsida; Fabales; Fabaceae
Exons: 4
Source: RefSeq, a predicted model, not a curated record
AACGAACAACACUAUCCGUUUCAUUUCAGUACUUGUCGCCGUUUCACCUGUAACUAACCAGCACCGUCGCCGUUGCUGUCAUCCACCGCGUAACCGUCAAGGUAACCACCGUGUUCCUCCUUUCAUCAUAUACUCAAAUUACAAUACAGUAACUAAUCAAUAACCAAUAACUUUUGCGUUUAUUUCUUCUCGAAAGUGAAAAUGAAGAAAAUGAUAGCAAUAGGGUUUGAAGGUUCAGCGAACAAAAUAGGUGUUGGUAUAGUAACCCUAGAUGGAACAAUUCUUUCAAAUCCACGCCAUACUUAUAUAACUCCACCCGGUCAAGGUUUUCUACCAAGAGAAACAGCACAACAUCAUUUUCAACACAUUCUUCCCCUUGUUAAAUCAGCUUUGGAAACAGCACAGAUUACUCCACAAGAUAUAGACUGCAUUUGUUACACCAAAGGUCCUGGUAUGGGAGCUCCAUUGCAAGUUUCUGCUAUUGUAGUUCGUGUGCUUUCGUUGCUUUGGAAGAAACCAAUUGUUGGUGUUAAUCAUUGUGUGGCUCAUAUUGAAAUGGGUAGGGUUGUAACAGGUGCUGAUGACCCUGUUGUUUUGUAUGUUAGUGGUGGUAAUACUCAGGUUAUUGCUUAUAGUGAAGGGCGGUACCGGAUUUUUGGUGAGACUAUUGAUAUUGCUGUUGGGAAUUGUUUGGAUCGGUUUGCGAGGGUCUUGACACUUUCUAAUGAUCCUAGUCCUGGAUAUAACAUUGAGCAGCUUGCAAAGAAAGGAGAGCAAUUUAUAGAUCUUCCUUAUGUUGUCAAAGGGAUGGAUGUAUCUUUUAGUGGAAUAUUGAGCUAUAUUGAAGCAACUGCUAAUGAAAAGCUAAAGAAUAAUGAGUGUACACCUGCAGACUUAUGCUACUCUCUGCAGGAAACACUGUUUGCCAUGCUGGUGGAGAUAACUGAGCGUGCCAUGGCUCAUUGUGACACAAAAGACGUUCUUAUAGUUGGAGGUGUAGGUUGCAACGAGCGCCUGCAAGAGAUGAUGAGAACAAUGUGCUCUGAACGUGGUGGAAGGUUGUUUGCUACUGAUGAUAGGUACUGCAUUGAUAAUGGUGCAAUGAUAGCUUAUACUGGUCUUCUUGAAUUUGCCCAUGGUGCGUCAACUGCACUAGAGGAUUCUACAUUCACCCAGCGGUUCCGAACAGAUGAAGUCAAGGCCAUCUGGAGAGAAGCAAAUUUGGCAAAAUCAAAUAGUCUUGUAGACAAAAGUAUUUGAUUUUUCAAUCUUGAGGUGCGGAAAUAUCCUUCUGCACACAAUUAUACCCAGGUUCAGUUAACUAUAUAAAAUGUCUGUUUCUAUUGGGUCAAGAAUUUCUUAAUUCUGUUCCACAGUCAAGGUUAGGUGGGAGAUUUCAAUAUAUACCAACAAGUUAAGUUCAUUUAUUGAGUCAUGUGGGCCUUUCUAUUUUAACUUAAGCUUUGUAUACAUUAAGAAGAACUUAACUGCAUUGUUUAAAACUUAUAAGGAUAACGUUUUAACAAUUCCAACUAGGGAACCGGAACUUAUUUUCUUGAUUGUAUAGUUGUUGCUAACAAAAUCUGUUCCCCCAGAAUCUCAUUGUUGGGUGUAUGCUGGAAAAAGACUUCUAAUGUGCUCUUGUUAGGAUCCCACCACACACAUUAACACCCAAGGAUCUCACUGUUGCCUGUGAAUUUUAUUGAUUGAAAGAAAAGGGUUACACAAAGGAGCUAUCCUUCCCUACACUAGAGUAUUUCUCUAGUCAACAACUCGAUAAUCUUCCUAGCUUCCUUAGGAAAAGUUAAUCAUAUUUAUAAUAUGACUAAAAGAAAAACAGUUUAACAAUUACAGAUGCUAACAGUAUAACUAACUUUGGUUUACAACCUUCCCACUUUUUCCUCUAUUAAACCUGGGGGACUCUAUCUCCUGUUAUAGGCUCUUCUUGUUGCCUAACAGCUCCCUCCAAUUUUCUGCAAUAACUUGCUGAUUCCUCAUCUUUGAUUUAGCCUCCAACUAAUGCUUGUAUGCCCAUUCUGUCUUGCCAUCUGUAAAGCUUGCCUGUCAAUUUGUUUACUUGAAAUGGGGAGCUUUGUUUUGUGUGCUCAAAUAUAGUUGUUGUGCUCUACGCUUCAUCCUUUCUGUCUGGUACUUGGACUUGGGCAAUUAGUUUCCAAAUUGAGUCAGGUUGGUAGGCAUUCCGAGUUAGAAUCCCUUGCAGAGGUGAGGUACGAAUGAACUGAAGAUGGACGUUAAACCCACAAACUAUCCUCAAUUUGGGUAUUGACCCAUUAGGUUUGGAAUGAUACCCAACUUACAAAAUGUCCGUUCAUCCACUCUAUGUUUCUUCUUCAACAGAACCAAUAGACAUGAAUGGAACAUUGCUAUUGUUGUCACCAAUGGUUGCUUUGCCCGUAGUGACUCACUAACUUUUUCCUGCAAGCUGGUGUCCAGUGGUUUGUUGAUUCAAGUGCAAUUCUUGAACUGCGCAAUUGUACCCCAUUUCACCCACAUCCUCAUUCUCAUUUAAAUGUCAGCCACCUUAUAAGCACUGUAGUUCAAAGUUUUUGAGUCCUCACCUUCCUUCUGCCUCCACUCUUCAGCCGGUUUACCUGCCAUUCACGCAUCCAAGUUCAGGGGCAUAAGCUUGGACUCCAAGUUGCCCGUGCUUGCCGGUUGUUGCACCAAAACUUGGCGAAUCUACAUUAAUUAUAAGAUUCUUGAUGGCUACACUUCCCUGCAUCUUCACCAGAAGUUUUUGUUUUUGUUUUUUUUGUUUCUGCCACCAGCUCUUCUUCAAAGAAGGUAACAUCACUUCCUUUUUCGCCUCGCAUGCAGGUAUCUAAAGUAGCAAGCACAUGUUUUGUCUUGUUCUUUCAAACUUCUUUAGGAUCCCAUUGGUGAAGCCUCCCGAGUCCUCCCUCUCUUGGAUGCAACCAAACAUGGCUAAGUACUCAAUUGUGAUUUAAAGAAAAACAAGGGACUAAUGGAUAUCCAAAUCAGCCAUGUUCAAGUUUAAGUUUGUAGUGAUACUCAAGUACAACCAAAUUUAUUAACACUGUAAAUUUAUGUAUGAAGAAACUCUUCAUUUUGUGUGAUAUUUUGUAGGGUUAUGUGGUGCAAAAGUGUCAUCCGUGCCAAUAUAUAACCAUGGUUCAUGGUUUAAAACAAAUGACAUAUUUACUUUGUACCUAAGGUCCUGGGAUUAGUAAUGUUGUAACAGCUCCCUUUCCUCUUCUCAUAGGAUAUACAAAUCUGGCUAGGAUUAGUCAUGUGAUAUUUGGGAUUAAGGUAGCAAUGAUAUUUUUUAGGACUUAGGUUAUAUAUUUGUGGAUGUGAUAUCAUGUAUUCUACCACUGUCUUAUCACAAUCUCUUGGGAUCCGAACUUAUUCCCUAAUCAAUCUCCUAUUGCAUA